This is a long non-coding RNA of Passer domesticus (house sparrow), 1353 nucleotides long. RefSeq lists it as uncharacterized. The record is from RefSeq and is a predicted model, not a curated record. The transcript is spliced from 7 exons. Lineage: Eukaryota; Metazoa; Chordata; Aves; Passeriformes; Passeridae.
AGAGACAUUUCCACCACAUGAAAGAUCAUGUACAGUAUUUCACUCUGGCUUCUGGUUCCACUCUUAUGAUGUCAAAGUCACAUAUUGACCUUGGCUGGAGAGCUUGCCUGUUCCAAGAGCACUACAGAAAUUCAUCACAGGAAGCUGCUUUGAUGCCACUGGAGUGUCCCUUAGAACCACCACUCUGCUAAGAGUUUGCUAAGCUUUCAGUUGUAGAAAGAGUCAACUGAAAAUAGCAUUUUGCUGGUCACUGAGAGGGAGUUAAACAAGGUGACUGAAGUAUUUCAAGGUUCAUUAAGUUACAGGGACACGCACUGGAAGAUCAUAACUGUUUACAGCAACUCAAGUUCUGGCAGACAAGCAGUGGAUGUGAAUCUCAAAACAAGUGUCUCUACGCAGAGCUCCUCUUCCCUUGGCUUUCAGAAAACCUGAUCUGGGAGUUAUUGAUUACAGAAUUUCCCUGCCACACUCAAGGGAAUGUUAUUUGCUUGGAAAAACUGUGAAUGCAAACUAAAAGUUAUUCUACCUGAUACUCUCUUUUAACUACUUUCCUCAUCAUUGUUCUGUGAGCGAUGGUCCCAGAAACUCUCACAAUUAACUUUGCAAACUUUCUUUUUACUCCAAAAACUCCAAAUAACAAAAUUGCUCCAAGCAGUCUUACCCUAGAGGUGGUAUUGGUAGUGAUGAAGAAAUCUCAUGAUAUCUAAUUAUGCAUGUACAUUUGCUGUGGCAUUUUCAGACUUAUUUUUGACUGACUCUUUGUGAUAUUUUGGAACUCGUGCUUCUGGCCAAACUAAGGUGACCCUGUCACAGAAGGGGGUCAGCUGGCAAGCAGGACAUGGCCUCAGCAUGUGCUGGCUGGGCCUGAUCCCCUGGGUGUCCUGUACCUGCUGUGUGAUGGUUCUUGGCAUGAGCUGCUCCAUGAGCUUCCCCAGCACUGCAGGCAGCUCAACAGGCCAGUAGUUUCCUGAAUCCUCCUUCCUGCUCAUCCUUGUAGUAUCCCCAGGGAGAAUCCCAUCCAGCCCCACAGACCUGUGUGUACCUACAUGCUGCAGGAGCAGUUGCCAGGUUAAUUUCUAGCUGGUCUGUGGCCACUUCUUUUGGAGAGAAAGACAGGUGUACUUUAAAGAGGGCAAAUAUCACCAAAUAGAUCUAAGACAGGAAGUACAAAACUGAACUUUAGCUGCUGUCACUUCAGUAUCACUACUGCAGCAUCUAAAAGAAACUAUAGCUGACCUUUGUACAGGCUGCUGCUACCCAAAAUCAAUCUGGCCAACUUGCGAAGAAUCUAAAAUGCAGGGUGCCAAGGAGGCAAGAUGCAGUUAUCCAAGUUAAAUUAAAUUUUAAAAUACA